AUUGAACGCUGGCGGCAGGCCUAACACAUGCAAGUCGAGCGGAUGAAGGGAGCUUGCUCCUGGAUUCAGCGGCGGACGGGUGAGUAAUGCCUAGGAAUCUGCCUGGUAGUGGGGGAUAACGUCCGGAAACGGGCGCUAAUACCGCAUACGUCCUGAGGGAGAAAGUGGGGGAUCUUCGGACCUCACGCUAUCAGAUGAGCCUAGGUCGGAUUAGCUAGUUGGUGGGGUAAAGGCCUACCAAGGCGACGAUCCGUAACUGGUCUGAGAGGAUGAUCAGUCACACUGGAACUGCGACACGGUCCAGACUCCUACGGGAGGCAGCAGUGGGGAAUAUUGGACAAUGGGCGAAAGCCUGAUCCAGCCAUGCCGCGUGUGUGAAGAAGGUCUUCGGAUUGUAAAGCACUUUAAGUUGGGAGGAAGGGCAGUAAGUUCAUACCUUGCUGUUUUGACGUUACCAACAGAAUAAGCACCGGCUAACUUCGUG
RNAcentral lists this ribosomal RNA (484 nucleotides) under uncultured bacterium. RNAcentral's name for it is "partial 16S ribosomal RNA". It matches the Rfam family "Bacterial small subunit ribosomal RNA", at positions 30 to 507 of the family's 1533-position model. The record is from RNAcentral.